UACGAAGGGGGCUAGCGUUGCUCGGAAUCACUGGGCGUAAAGCGCACGUAGGCGGCUUUCUAAGUCAGGGGUGAAAUCCCGGAGCUCAACUCCGGAACUGGCCUUUGAUACUGGAAGCUUGAGUCCGGGAGAGGUGAGUGGAACUGCGAGUGUAGAGGUGAAAUUCGGUAGAUAUUCGCAAGAACACCAGUGGCGAAGGCGGCUCACUGGACCCGGUGAC
This 220-nucleotide ribosomal RNA is filed under the name uncultured bacterium. RNAcentral describes it as "partial 16S ribosomal RNA". It matches the Rfam family "Bacterial small subunit ribosomal RNA", at positions 524 to 740 of the family's 1533-position model. The record is from RNAcentral.